This 844-nucleotide ribosomal RNA is filed under the name Rhodospirillum rubrum. Its description in RNAcentral is "bacterial SSU rRNA". It matches the Rfam family "Bacterial small subunit ribosomal RNA", at positions 86 to 873 of the family's 1533-position model. Lineage: Bacteria; Pseudomonadati; Pseudomonadota; Alphaproteobacteria; Rhodospirillales; Rhodospirillaceae. The record is from RNAcentral.
UCAACGUGAGUGGCGCUCGGGUGAGUAACACGUCGGGAACGUACCUCGCAAGUACGGGAUAACUGUUCGGAAAGCGACAGCUAAUACCGUAUACGACCCUUCUUGGGGAAGAGAUUUAUCGCUUCGAGAUCGGCCCGCGUCCGAUUAGCUUGUUGGUGAGGUAACGUGCUCACCAAGGCGACGAUCGGUAGCUGGUCUGAGAGGAUGAUCAGCCACACUGGGACUGAGACACGAGCCCAGACUCCUACGGGAGGCAGCAGUGGGGAAUAUUGCGCAAUGGGGGGAACCCUGACGCAGCCAUGCCGCGUGAGUGAUGAAUGCCUGCGGGUUGUAAAGCUCUUUCAGAUGUGACGAUGAUGACUGUAACAUCAGAAGAAGCCCCGGCUAACUUCGUGCCAGCAGCCGCGGUAAUACGAAGGGGGCAAGCGUUGUUCGGAAUUACUGGGCGUAAAGAGCGCGUACGCGGCCAGAUCAGUCAGGGGUGAAAUCCCGGGGCUCAACCCCGGAACUGCCCUUGAUACUGUCGGGCUAGAAUCCGUGAGAGGGUGGUGGAAUGACCAGUGUAGAUGUGAAAUACGUAGAUAUAGGGAGGAACACCAGUGGCGAACGCGGCCACCUGGUGCGGUAUUGACGCUGACGCGCGAAAGCGUGCGGAGCGAACAGGAUUAGAUACCCUGGUAGUCCACGCCGUCAACGAUGAGUGCAUGGUGUCGGGGGUCUACGGAUCUCGGUGCUGAAGCUACCGUUUUUAAGCACUCCGUCCCUGGGGGAGUUACGGGUCCGCAAAGAAUUAAAUACCUCCAAAUGGAAAUUUGAACUGGGGGGGCCCCCGCCACAAAAGCCG